Molecule: ribosomal RNA, 496 nt
Filed under: uncultured bacterium
Lineage: Bacteria
Description: partial 16S ribosomal RNA
Rfam family: Bacterial small subunit ribosomal RNA
Source: RNAcentral
GAUGAACGCUGGCGGCGUGCCUAAUACAUGCAAGUCGAGCGAACGGACGAGAAGCUUGCUUUUCUGAUGUUAGCGGCGGACGGGUGAGUAACACGUGGAUAACCUACCUAUAAGACUGGGAUAACUUCGGGAAACCGGAGCUAAUACCGGAUAAUAUUUUGAACCGCAUGGUUCAAAAGUGAAAGACGGUCUUGCUGUCACUUAUAGAUGGAUCCGCGCUGCAUUAGCUAGUUGGUAAGGUAACGGCUUACCAAGGCAACGAUGCAUAGCCGACCUGAGAGGGUGAUCGGCCACACUGGAACUGAGACACGGUCCAGACUCCUACGGGAGGCAGCAGUAGGGAAUCUUCCGCAAUGGGCGAAAGCCUGACGGAGCAACGCCGCGUGAGUGAUGAAGGUCUUCGGAUCGUAAAACGCUGUUAUUAGGGAAGAACAUAUGUGUAAGUAACUGUGCACAUCUUGACGGUACCUAAGCAGAAAGCCACGGCUAACUACGU